UACGGAGGGUGCAAGCGUUAUCCGGAUUCACUGGGUUUAAAGGGUGCGUAGGUGGGCAGGUAAGUCAGUGGUGAAAUCUCCGGGCUUAACUCGGAAACUGCCGUUGAUACUAUCUGUCUUGAAUAUCGUGGAGGUUAGCGGAAUAUGUCAUGUAGCGGUGAAAUGCUUAGAUAUGACAUAGAACACCAAUUGCGAAGGCAGCUUACUACCCGAAUAUUGACACUGAGGCACGAAAGCGUGGGGAUCAAACAGG
Molecule: ribosomal RNA, 253 nt
Filed under: uncultured bacterium
Lineage: Bacteria
Description: partial 16S ribosomal RNA
Rfam family: Bacterial small subunit ribosomal RNA
Source: RNAcentral